Molecule: ribosomal RNA, 890 nt
Filed under: Endomelanconiopsis sp.
Lineage: Eukaryota; Fungi; Ascomycota; Dothideomycetes; Botryosphaeriales; Botryosphaeriaceae
Description: partial large subunit ribosomal RNA
Rfam family: Eukaryotic large subunit ribosomal RNA
Source: RNAcentral
AAGCAUAUCAAUAAGCGGAGGAAAAGAAACCAACUGGGAUUGCCUUAGUAACGGCGAGUGAAGCGGCAAUAGCUCAAAUUUGAAAGCUGGCUCCUUCGGAGUCCGCGUUGUAAUUUGUAGAGGAUGCUUCGGCGAGGGCUCCCGCCUAAGUCCCCUGGAACGGGGCGUCAUAGAGGGUGAGAAUCCCGUAUGCGGUGGGUUGCCUUAGCCAUGUGAAGCUCCUUCGACGAGUCGAGUUGUUUGGGAAUGCAGCUCUAAAUGGGAGGUAAAUUUCUUCUAAAGCUAAAUACCGGCCAGAGACCGAUAGCGCACAAGUAGAGUGAUCGAAAGAUGAAAAGCACUUUGGAAAGAGAGUUAAAAAGUACGUGAAAUUGUUGAAAGGGAAGCGCUUGCAGCCAGACUUGUCCGCAGUUGCUCAGCCGGUCUCCUGACCGGCGUACUCUUCUGCGGCCAGGCCAGCAUCAGUUCGGGCGGUCGGAUAAAGGUUCUGGGAAUGUGGCUCCUCUCGGGGAGUGUUAUAGCCCAGUUCGCAAUGCGACCAGCCUGGACUGAGGAUCUCGCUUCGGCUAGGAUGCUGGCGUAAUGGCUGUAAGCGGCCCGUCUUGAAACACGGACCAAGGAGUCUAACAUCUAUGCGAGUGUUUGGGUGUCAAACCCAUGCGCGUAAUGAAAGUGAACGGAGGUGGGAACCCUCACGGGUGCACCAUCGACCGAUCCUGAUGUCUUCGGAUGGAUUUGAGUAAGAGCAUAGCUGUUGGGACCCGAAAGAUGGUGAACUAUGCCUGAAUAGGGUGAAGCCAGAGGAAACUCUGGUGGAGGCUCGCAGCGGUUCUGACGUGCAAAUCGAUCGUCAAAUUUGGGUAUAGGGGCGAAAGACUAAUCGAACCAUC